AUGAAGUUUUGUUCUCAUCCAAGUGCUAUUGGAGACGAGCCGGUGGCAGGCAACCGCGGGUGGCUUCCUCCGUUGUUCCUUGUUCGAUCUGGCGCUUGCAAGGUUGAUCUUCUGAUUUCAUUUUGCUCAGAUAUGGGCUUGGGCUCGGUCAUUUUAUUUGGUCAUGAUGAUGGCGGCUUGCUGGCCCUGAGGACUGCAGAAAAGUUACGCGCUUCUGGAGAUUCUAGGAAGUGGAUCAUCUUUUUGCUAUGCCCUCCUGUUAAAUGUUGUCAUUGUACUGUGCUCUCCUUGUCAAAUAGAUACUUAAUACGGAAAUCAAUAGUUUUUUUUCAAACGAUGAACAAUUUUUGUUGCCCGCCGUCUGGCGGGCAACGUGCGGCAAGCCGCGCCCCCUAUCUACCGGCCAAAGAUUUGGGCCAGCCUCGCACGCGUGGUUUGAUGCGUCCAGAUCGGAUGCUCACGUUUUCCUCCUCAACCGCACUCGCACGCAUCCACGUGCUGGAGGGUCCACCACCGCUUGGGAUGCAACUUUAUCCCUUCGCCUGCGUCGCCUACUCCAUUCUCCACCACUCGUUUUUCUUUUUUCCACAACAACCUCCGACCCCUGCUGCCGCACUACGGCGACCAACACAGGGAGGCGUUGCAACCAGAACAUGCCCUCACCGACGACUUUAUUUUUUGCUGAAACCGUUCGACGAUGACGGUGAGGCAAGAAUUGUUGCAACCAAUGUGCCCGCGAGCUGGAACCGGCAGGCGUCAAAAGCUACAUCCACGGUGACCAUGCCCUGGGAUCCACCGGCAGUCGUGUUACAGCCCCAACGGAGGGGGCGGGCCCUCACCGGUGCUCGUUGGCCAUGGCCACGGCCAGGACGACGACAUAAUUUACUUGCGGUGCGUGUAUUAGUUAGCCUGUCAAUUCCCUGCGCUUUUGUUUUCUCUUCUUCCUGCCGUGACCUCGUCAAGGUUCCGGCCAAGAUGCACGAGGCGGCAGACAGACCAGAGACCUUGUCAGUCGAGCAGAGCGUUCGCACAUUCGCACGCGCGUGA
RNAcentral lists this ribosomal RNA (1047 nucleotides) under Triticum aestivum (bread wheat). RNAcentral's name for it is "partial small subunit ribosomal RNA". The record is from RNAcentral. Lineage: Eukaryota; Viridiplantae; Streptophyta; Magnoliopsida; Poales; Poaceae.